RNAcentral lists this unclassified non-coding RNA (334 nucleotides) under soil metagenome. RNAcentral's name for it is "partial contains 5.8S ribosomal RNA, internal transcribed spacer 2, and large subunit ribosomal RNA". The stretch from base 1 to 120 matches the Rfam family "5.8S ribosomal RNA", at positions 35 to 154 of the family's 154-position model. The record is from RNAcentral.
GAUGAAGAACGUAGUGAAAUGUGAUACGUAAUGUGAAUUGCAGAAUUCAGUGAAUCAUCGAAUCUUUGAACGCACAUUGCGCCCGCCAGUAUUCUGGCGGGCAUGCCUGUUCGAGCGUCAUUUCAACCAUCAAGCCCUGCUUGCGUUGGGGUCCUGCGGCUGCCCGCAGGCCCUGAAAACCAGUGGCGGGCUCGCUAGUCACACCGAGCGCAGUAAUACAUCUCGCUUUGGGCGUGCGGCGGGUUCUUGCCGUUAAACACCCCCUUUUUACCAAGGUUGACCUCGGAUCAGGUAGGAAUACCCGCUGAACUUAAGCAUAUCAAUAAGCGGAGGA